Molecule: ribosomal RNA, 439 nt
Filed under: uncultured bacterium
Lineage: Bacteria
Description: bacterial SSU rRNA
Rfam family: Bacterial small subunit ribosomal RNA
Source: RNAcentral
CCUACGGGGGGCUGCAGUGGGGAAUAUUGCACAAUGGGCGAAAGCCUGAUGCAGCGACGCCGCGUGAGCGAAGAAGGCCUUCGGGUCGUAAAGCUCUGUCCUAAGGGAAGAAAAGGACGGUACCUUAGGAGGAAGCCCCGGCUAACUACGUGCCAGCAGCCGCGGUAAUACGUAGGGGGCGAGCGUUAUCCGGAAUUACUGGGCGUAAAGGGUGCGUAGGCGGACUUUUAAGUCAGAUGUGAAAGGCUACGGCUUAACCGUAGUUAGCAUGUGAAACUAGAAGGCUUGAGUGCAGGGGAGGAGAGUGUAAUUACUAGUGUAGCGGUUAAAUGCGUAGAGAUUAGGAGGAACACCAGUGGCGAAGGCGACUAUCUGGACUGCAACUGACGAUGAGGCACGGAAGCGUGGGGAGCAAACAGGAAGAGAUACCCCGGUAGUC